AGGAGCUUGCUCCUCUGAUUUAGCGGCGGACGGGUGAGUAACACGUGGGUAAUCUGCCUGUAAGACGGGGAUAACUCCGGGAAACCGGGGCUAAUACCGGAUAAUAAGAGAAGAAGCAUUUCUUCUUUUUGAAAGUCGGUUUCGGCUGACACUUACAGAUGAGCCCGCGGCGCAUUAGCUAGUUGGUGAGGUAACGGCUCACCAAGGCGACGAUGCGUAGCCGACCUGAGAGGGUGAUCGGCCACACUGGGACUGAGACACGGCCCAGACUCCUACGGGAGGCAGCAGUAGGGAAUCUUCGGCAAUGGGCGAAAGCCUGACCGAGCAACGCCGCGUGAGCGAUGAAGGCCUUCGGGUCGUAAAGCUCUGUUGUUAGAGAAGAACAAGUACGAGAGUAACUGCUCGUACCUUGACGGUACCUAACCAGAAAGCCACGGCUAACUACGUGCCAGCAGCCGCGGUAAUACGUAGGUGGCAAGCGUUAUCCGGAAUUAUUGGGCGUAAAGCGCGCGCAGGCGGUCUCUUAAGUCUGAUGUGAAAGCCCACGGCUCAACCGUGGAGGGUCAUUGGAAACUGGGAGACUUGAGUGCAGGAGAGAAAAGUGGAAUUCCACGUGUAGCGGUGAAAUGCGUAGAGAUGUGGAGGAACACCAGUGGCGAAGGCGGCUUUUUGGCCUGUAACUGACGCUGAGGCGCGAAAGCGUGGGGAGCAAACAGGAUUAGAUACCCUGGUAGUCCACGCCGUAAACGAUGAGUGCUAGGUGUUGGGGGGUUCCACCCUCAGUGCUGAAGUUAACACAUUAAGCACUCCGCCUGGGGAGUACGACCGCAAGGUUGAAACUCAAAGGAAUUGACGGGGGCCCGCACAAGCAGUGGAGCAUGUGGUUUAAUUCGAAGCAACGCGAAGAACCUUACCAGGUCUUGACAUCCUUUGACCACUCUAGAGAUAGAGCUUUCCCCUUCGGGGGACAAAGUGACAGGUGGUGCAUGGUUGUCGUCAGCUCGUGUCGUGAGAUGUUGGGUUAAGUCCCGCAACGAGCGCAACCCUUGACCUUAGUUGCCAGCAUUCAGUUGGGCACUCUAAGGUGACUGCCGGUGACAAACCGGAGGAAGGUGGGGAUGACGUCAAAUCAUCAUGCCCCUUAUGACCUGGGCUACACACGUGCUACAAUGGAUGAUACAAAGGGUUGCGAAGCCGCGAGGCCAAGCCAAUCCCAAAAAGUCAUUCUCAGUUCGGAUUGUAGGCUGCAACUCNCUUACAUGAAGCGGGAAU
RNAcentral lists this ribosomal RNA (1272 nucleotides) under Fictibacillus barbaricus. Its description in RNAcentral is "bacterial SSU rRNA". It matches the Rfam family "Bacterial small subunit ribosomal RNA", at positions 74 to 1332 of the family's 1533-position model. Lineage: Bacteria; Bacillati; Bacillota; Bacilli; Caryophanales; Fictibacillaceae. The record is from RNAcentral.